This 2750-nucleotide ribosomal RNA is filed under the name Vibrio cholerae O1 biovar El Tor. Its description in RNAcentral is "bacterial LSU rRNA". It matches the Rfam family "Bacterial large subunit ribosomal RNA". Lineage: Bacteria; Pseudomonadati; Pseudomonadota; Gammaproteobacteria; Vibrionales; Vibrionaceae. The record is from RNAcentral.
UACAUAGGUUAACAGAGCAAACCGGGGGAACUGAAACAUCUAAGUACCCCGAGGAGAAGAAAUCAACCGAGAUUCCGGUAGUAGCGGCGAGCGAACCUGGAUUAGCCCUUAAGCACUCGGUGAAGUAGGUGAACAAGCUGGAAAGCUUGGCGAUACAGGGUGAUAGCCCCGUAACCGACGCUUCAUCGAGCGUGAAAUCGAGUAGGGCGGGACACGUGAUAUCCUGUCUGAAUAUGGGGGGACCAUCCUCCAAGGCUAAAUACUCCUGACUGACCGAUAGUGAACCAGUACCGUGAGGGAAAGGCGAAAAGAACCCCUGUGAGGGGAGUGAAAUAGAACCUGAAACCGUGUACGUACAAGCAGUAGGAGCACCUUCGUGGUGUGACUGCGUACCUUUUGUAUAAUGGGUCAGCGACUUAUAUUCAGUGGCAAGGUUAACCGUAUAGGGGAGCCGUAGCGAAAGCGAGUCUUAACUGGGCGCUCAGUCUCUGGAUAUAGACCCGAAACCGGGUGAUCUAGCCAUGGGCAGGUUGAAGGUUGAGUAACAUCAACUGGAGGACCGAACCGACUAAUGUUGAAAAAUUAGCGGAUGACUUGUGGCUAGGGGUGAAAGGCCAAUCAAACUCGGAGAUAGCUGGUUCUCCCCGAAAGCUAUUUAGGUAGCGCCUCGGACGAAUACUACUGGGGGUAGAGCACUGUUAAGGCUAGGGGGUCAUCCCGACUUACCAACCCUUUGCAAACUCCGAAUACCAGUAAGUACUAUCCGGGAGACACACGGCGGGUGCUAACGUCCGUCGUGGAGAGGGAAACAACCCAGACCGCCAGCUAAGGUCCCAAAGUAUUGCUAAGUGGGAAACGAUGUGGGAAGGCUCAGACAGCUAGGAUGUUGGCUUAGAAGCAGCCAUCAUUUAAAGAAAGCGUAAUAGCUCACUAGUCGAGUCGGCCUGCGCGGAAGAUGUAACGGGGCUAAGCAAUACACCGAAGCUGCGGCAAUGUCUUUUAGACAUUGGGUAGGGGAGCGUUCUGUAAGCCGUUGAAGGUGAAUCGUAAGGUUUGCUGGAGGUAUCAGAAGUGCGAAUGCUGACAUGAGUAACGACAAAGGGGGUGAAAAACCUCCUCGCCGGAAGACCAAGGGUUCCUGUCCAACGUUAAUCGGGGCAGGGUGAGUCGACCCCUAAGGUGAGGCCGAAAGGCGUAAUCGAUGGGAAACGGGUUAAUAUUCCCGUACUUCUGACUAUUGCGAUGGGGGGACGGAGAAGGCUAGGUGGGCCAGGCGACGGUUGUCCUGGUUCAAGUGCGUAGGCUUGAGAGUUAGGUAAAUCCGGCUCUCUCUAAGGCUGAGACACGACGUCGAGCUACUACGGUAGUGAAGUCAUUGAUGCCAUGCUUCCAGGAAAAGCCUCUAAGCUUCAGAUAGUCAGGAAUCGUACCCCAAACCGACACAGGUGGUCGGGUAGAGAAUACCAAGGCGCUUGAGAGAACUCGGGUGAAGGAACUAGGCAAAAUGGUACCGUAACUUCGGGAGAAGGUACGCUCUUGAUGGUGAAGUCCCUCGCGGAUGGAGCUGACGAGAGUCGCAGAUACCAGGUGGCUGCAACUGUUUAUUAAAAACACAGCACUGUGCAAAAUCGCAAGAUGACGUAUACGGUGUGACGCCUGCCCGGUGCCGGAAGGUUAAUUGAUGGGGUUAGCGCAAGCGAAGCUCUUGAUCGAAGCCCCGGUAAACGGCGGCCGUAACUAUAACGGUCCUAAGGUAGCGAAAUUCCUUGUCGGGUAAGUUCCGACCUGCACGAAUGGCGUAAUGAUGGCCACGCUGUCUCCACCCGAGACUCAGUGAAAUUGAAAUCGCUGUGAAGAUGCAGUGUACCCGCGGCUAGACGGAAAGACCCCGUGAACCUUUACUACAGCUUGGCACUGAACAUUGAACCUACAUGUGUAGGAUAGGUGGGAGGCUAUGAAGACGUGACGCCAGUUGCGUUGGAGCCGUCCUUGAAAUACCACCCUUGUAUGUUUGAUGUUCUAACUUAGACCCAUUAUCUGGGUUGAGGACAGUGCCUGGUGGGUAGUUUGACUGGGGCGGUCUCCUCCCAAAGAGUAACGGAGGAGCACGAAGGUGGGCUAAUCACGGUUGGACAUCGUGAGGUUAGUGCAAUGGCAUAAGCCCGCUUAACUGCGAGAAUGACGGUUCGAGCAGGUGCGAAAGCAGGUCAUAGUGAUCCGGUGGUUCUGUAUGGAAGGGCCAUCGCUCAACGGAUAAAAGGUACUCCGGGGAUAACAGGCUGAUACCGCCCAAGAGUUCAUAUCGACGGCGGUGUUUGGCACCUCGAUGUCGGCUCAUCACAUCCUGGGGCUGAAGUCGGUCCCAAGGGUAUGGCUGUUCGCCAUUUAAAGUGGUACGCGAGCUGGGUUUAGAACGUCGUGAGACAGUUCGGUCCCUAUCUGCCGUGGGCGUUGGAAGAUUGAAGGGGGCUGCUCCUAGUACGAGAGGACCGGAGUGGACGAACCUCUGGUGUUCGGGUUGUGUCGCCAGACGCAUUGCCCGGUAGCUAAGUUCGGAAUUGAUAAGCGCUGAAAGCAUCUAAGCGCGAAGCGAGCCCUGAGAUGAGUCUUCCCUGACAGUUUAACUGUCCUAAAGGGUUGUUCGAGACUAGAACGUUGAUAGGCAGGGUGUGUAAGCGUUGUGAGGCGUUGAGCUAACCUGUACUAAUUGCCCGUGAGGCUUAACCAUACAACACCCAAGGGGUUUUGUA